UGAUUUUUAUCAUCUUUAAAUUGAUUUUGUCUUUGUUUAAAAAUUUAAUUAUUUUUUUUUGAUUUAGGACUUUAAAUCUACUAAACUGCUUAUUAAUUUUUACUUUAUUUAAAAUAUAUAUAAUUUAGGAUUUUCAAAUCAACUAAUACUUGACGAACCAAAGCUUUUGAUAAGAUGGCUCCACCGUCCCCUUCAAUCCUCAAUCUGCAAGAGUUGAAGUAGAAUUAUGUUGAAGUUUAACGGUAAGUUUUUUCUUGAUAUGAAUUGACUUAUGAUUAAUUCAUAUUUCAUGAUUAUUUUUUUCGUAGAUUUGAUUCAUAUAUAUAUAUAUAUAUAUAUAAAUUUUAAUUAUUUUAUUUGUUUAUCGUUUGGAUAGAGGUUUUUGAAUAGAGUUGAAGCAGAAUUGUGUUGAAGUUUAAUGGAAAGUUUUUUCUUCAUGUGAGUUGACUUGUGAUUAAUUCAUAUUCGAUGAUUAUUUUCUUA
This is a long non-coding RNA of Capsicum annuum, 483 nucleotides long. RefSeq lists it as uncharacterized. The record is from RefSeq and is a predicted model, not a curated record. Lineage: Eukaryota; Viridiplantae; Streptophyta; Magnoliopsida; Solanales; Solanaceae. The transcript is spliced from 2 exons.